GGCGAACGGGUGAGUAACACGUGGGUAACCUGCCCAUAAGAGGGGGAUAACAUCCGGAAACGGGUGCUAAUACCGCAUAGUUUCUUGAUUGCAUGAUUGAGAAAGGAAAGACGGCCUUUGUGCUGUCGCUUAUGGAUGGACCCGCGGCGUAUUAGUUAGUUGGUGAGGUAACGGCUCACCAAGACGAUGAUACGUAGCCGACCUGAGAGGGUGAUCGGCCACAUUCGGGACUGAGACACGGCCCAAACUCCUACGGGAGGCAGCAGUAGGGAAUCUUCCGCAAUGGACGAAAGUCUGACGGAGCAACGCCGCGUGAGUGAAAGAAGGUUUUCGGAUCGUAAAACUCUGUUGUCAGAGAAGAACAAGUUGGAGAGUAACUGCUCCAGCCUUUGACGGUAUCUGACCAGAAAGCCACGGCUAACUACGUGCCAGCCGCCGC
RNAcentral lists this ribosomal RNA (439 nucleotides) under uncultured bacterium. Its description in RNAcentral is "bacterial SSU rRNA". It matches the Rfam family "Bacterial small subunit ribosomal RNA", at positions 97 to 518 of the family's 1533-position model. The record is from RNAcentral.